This 515-nucleotide ribosomal RNA is filed under the name uncultured bacterium. Its description in RNAcentral is "bacterial SSU rRNA". It matches the Rfam family "Bacterial small subunit ribosomal RNA", at positions 18 to 518 of the family's 1533-position model. The record is from RNAcentral.
UAUGGCUCAGAUUGAACGCUGGCGGCGUGCUUAACACAUGCAAGUCGCGCGUGAAGGACUUCGGUCCGAGUAAAGCGGCGCACGGGUGAGUAACGCGUGGAUGAUCUACCCAUGAGUUAGGAAUAACGGCUGGAAACGGUCGCUAAUACCCAAAUACGCUCCGAUUUCAACUUCGGGGGAAAGGUGGCCUCUGCUUGCAAGCUACUGCUCAUGGAUGAGUCCGCGUCCCAUUAGCUAGUUGGUGGGGUAACGGCCCACCAAGGCGACGAUGGGUAGCCGGUCUGAGAGGAUGACCGGCCACACUGGGACUGGAACACGGCCCAGACUCCUACGGGAGGCAGCAGUGGGGAAUAUUGCGCAAUGGGCGAAAGCCUGACGCAGCGACGCCGCGUGAGGGAUGAAGGUCCUCGGAUCGUAAACCUCUGUCAGGAGGGAAGAACCGCCACGGUGCUAAUCAGCCGUGGUCUGACGGUACCUCCAAAGGAAGCACCGGCUAACUCCGUGCCAGCAGCCGC